GGUCACGUGGGCGGAAGACCCGAUGCCAUCAACAAAACUAAUAGCCUAAGGCCUCGGGAGCCUGUAAAAGUGUUGACCCAAAAUAUUCCUGGCUGAUGUACGACCACAGUAUCAGAUGAAGGAUUAACAUGACCUGUGUCUACUACAUUGAUGCUGAUGCAUUAAAGUG
This is a non-coding RNA of Pimephales promelas (fathead minnow), 169 nucleotides long. Lineage: Eukaryota; Metazoa; Chordata; Actinopteri; Cypriniformes; Leuciscidae. The record is from RefSeq and is a predicted model, not a curated record.